AUUGAACGCUGGCGGCAUGCCUUACACAUGCAAGUCGAACGGCAGCACGGGGCAACCUGGUGGCGAGUGGCGAACGGGUGAGUAAUGCAUCGGAACGUGCCAUUGAGUGGGGGAUAACGUAGCGAAAGUUGCGCUAAUACCGCAUAUUCUGUGAGCAGGAAAGCAGGGGACCGCAAGGCCUUGCGCUCUUUGAGCGGCCGAUGUCAGAUUAGCUAGUUGGUGAGGUAACGGCUUACCAAGGCGACGAUCUGUAGCGGGUCUGAGAGGAUGAUCGCCACACUGGAACUGAGACACGGUCCAGACUCCUACGGAGGCAGCAGUGGGGAAUUUUGGACAAUGGGCGCAAGCCUGAUCCAGCCAUGCCGCGUGAGUGAAGAAGGCC
RNAcentral lists this ribosomal RNA (382 nucleotides) under uncultured bacterium. Its description in RNAcentral is "bacterial SSU rRNA". It matches the Rfam family "Bacterial small subunit ribosomal RNA", at positions 30 to 416 of the family's 1533-position model. The record is from RNAcentral.